CGGGGGCAGCAGUGGGGAAUCUUGGGCAAUGGGCGAAAGCCUGACCCAGCGACGCCGCGUGGGGGAAGAAGGCCUUCGGGUCGUAAACCCUGUUCUGGGGGAAGAACCUGACUGGGUUAAGAGCCUAGUCAGGCUGACGGUACCCCAGGAGAAAGCCACGGCUAACUGCGUGCCAGCAGCCGCGGUAAUACGCAGGUGGCGAGCGUUGCCCGGAAUUACUGGGCGUAAAGGGUGCGUAGGCGGCCGGACAAGUCGUAGGUUAAAGCCCGGGGCUCAACCCCGGAAAGGCCUACGAUACUGUCUGGCUUGAGGGCUGGAGAGGCUGGCGGAAUUCCCGGUGUAGGGGUGAAAUCCGUAGAUAUCGGGAGGAACACCGGAGGGGAAGCCGGCCAGCUGGACAGUCCCUGACGCUGAGGCACGAAAGCGUGGGGAGCAAACCGGAUUAGAUACCCGGGUAGUCCACGCUGUAAACGAUGGGUGCUAGGUCUGGGGAGGUAAUCUCUCCGGGCCGAAGCUAACGUGUUAAGCACCCCGCCUGGGGAGUACGGCCGCAAGGCUGAAACUCAAAGGAAUUGACGGGGGCCCGCACAAGCGGUGGAGCACGUGGUUUAAUUCGAUGCAGAGCGAAGAACCUUACCCGGGCUUGACAUGCCAGGGUUGUACCCCGGUGGAAACACUGGGGGGGCGUGGGGUUUCUCACGCGCUCUGGCACAGGUGCUGCAUGGCUGUCGUCAGCUCGUGUCGUGAGAUGUUGGGUUAAGUCCCGCAACGAGCGCAACCCCUGCCCUUAGUUGCUACCGGGUAAAGCCGGGCACUCUAAGGGGACUGCCGGGGAUAACCCGGAGGAAGGAGGGGAUGACGUCAAGUCCGCAUGGCCCUUAUGCCCGGGGCUACACACGUGCUACAAUGGGGGGUACAGAGGGUUGCGAACCCGCAAGGGGGAGCUAAUCCCAGAAAGCCCUCCUU
This 966-nucleotide ribosomal RNA is filed under the name uncultured Geothermobacterium sp. RNAcentral describes it as "bacterial SSU rRNA". It matches the Rfam family "Bacterial small subunit ribosomal RNA", at positions 343 to 1289 of the family's 1533-position model. The record is from RNAcentral. Lineage: Bacteria; Pseudomonadati; Thermodesulfobacteriota; Thermodesulfobacteria; Thermodesulfobacteriales; Thermodesulfobacteriaceae.